This 69-nucleotide transfer RNA is filed under the name Bos taurus (domestic cattle). It matches the Rfam family "tRNA". From Rfam's summary of the family: Transfer RNA (tRNA) molecules are approximately 80 nucleotides in length. Their secondary structure includes four short double-helical elements and three loops (D, anti-codon, and T loops). The record is from Rfam by way of RNAcentral. Lineage: Eukaryota; Metazoa; Chordata; Mammalia; Artiodactyla; Bovidae. RNAcentral also lists the same sequence under 4 other names.
CCUGGUGGCUUAGAGGGUAAAGCAUCUGCUUGCAAUGCAGGAGACCCAGGUUCGAUCCCUGGGUCAGGA